UGAGGAAUAUUGCACAAUGGGCGAAAGCCUGAUGCAGCGACGCCGCGUGGGUGACGAAGGCCUUCGGGUCGUAAAACCCUUUUGGCAGGGACGAGUGAGGACGGUACCUGUCGAAUAAGUCUCGGCUAACUACGUGCCAGCAGCCGCGGUAAAACGUAGGAGGCGAGCGUUAUCCGGAUUCACUGGGCGUAAAGCGCGCGUAGGCGGUUAGGUAAGUCGGGCGUUAAAGCCCCUGGCUCAACUGGGGGAGGUCGUUCGAUACUGCUUGGCUUGAGGGUGAGAGAGGAAAGUGGAAUUCCCGGUGUAGCGGUGGAAUGCGUAGAGAUCGGGAGGAACACCAGUGGCGAAGGCGGCUUUCUGGCUCACUUCUGACGCUGAGAGCGCGAAAGCGUGGGGAGCA
RNAcentral lists this ribosomal RNA (400 nucleotides) under uncultured bacterium. RNAcentral describes it as "bacterial SSU rRNA". It matches the Rfam family "Bacterial small subunit ribosomal RNA", at positions 355 to 770 of the family's 1533-position model. The record is from RNAcentral.